CCCGCAGCCCAGCCAAGGGUCGCGGGGGCCCGCAGCGGGCCAAGAGCUCUCCCCAGCGUCCCGCAGCAAAGAGCUGCGCAGGAACCCGCAGCUCGGCCGGCGGCGGAAAUGAUUCGCAGCUCGCCGGUCCAUCGCUCCGCCGCCACCCACCGAGCGGUGGCAGAGAACACGCACCGUGCCCCCACCGCGUCCCAACCGUGUCCCCACCGCACCGGCGUGGCCUCCGCUCCACAAGCUGCCGGGACUCAGCCAUCAAAGAAUCGGAGAAUCACUAAGGCUGGAUGUGUUGCACACACUCAUGGCUGCAGGAGGACCACUGCAGACCAGCCCCCACCUUCCACCUCCAAACCACCAGGGUUGGACCCACAGCUCCUGGCAUGCAAAGCCUCAGGAAGCCACUACAGACCCAGCUCCCCUACCCUGCAGCAGCAGCAUCUCAGGCAUGGGGAAACUGAGGCACGCCCUGCACGUCUGGGCUUUUUUGGAAGUGGGUGUCAGAGUAGACCCAUGGGAGGAGAGAGCUGCUCCCAGAGAGGAAGAGAUGCAGCC
Molecule: long non-coding RNA, 549 nt
Organism: Pogoniulus pusillus (Red-fronted tinkerbird)
Lineage: Eukaryota; Metazoa; Chordata; Aves; Piciformes; Lybiidae
Exons: 3
Source: RefSeq, a predicted model, not a curated record